Molecule: non-coding RNA, 25 nt
Filed under: Cricetulus griseus (Chinese hamster)
Lineage: Eukaryota; Metazoa; Chordata; Mammalia; Rodentia; Cricetidae
Source: RNAcentral
ACGUGUCUGUAAGCAUAUAUGCCUG